Molecule: long non-coding RNA, 4218 nt
Filed under: Sus scrofa (pig)
Lineage: Eukaryota; Metazoa; Chordata; Mammalia; Artiodactyla; Suidae
Description: lncRNA (ENSSSCG00000042222.1)
Source: RNAcentral
CCACUAAGCCAUCAGGGAACUCCUAGAGGCCCAUUCUUAUUUAUUAAUAUUAGACUGUCUCUCUGGAAUUCCUUUUUGUAUAUAUUUAUUUUCUAAAAGUAUACAAUGACCAUACCUUAUUUUUAUAAUUACACAGCAAGAGUAUUAAAAGAAAUGCUGGAGUUCCCGUCGUGGCGCAGUGGUUAACGAAUCCGACUAGGAACCAUGAGGUUGCGGGUUCGGUCCCUGCCCUUGCUCAGUGGGUUAACGAUCCGGCGUUGCCGUGAGCUGUGGUGUAGGUUGCAGACGCGGCUUGGAUCCCGCGUUGCUGUGGCUCUGGCGUAGGCCGGUGGCUACAGCUCCAAUUGGACCCCUAGCCUGGGAACCUCCAUAUGCCGCGGGAGCGGCCCAAGAAAUGGCAACAACAACAACAACAACAAUAAUGCCGAGGGAGCGGCCCAAGAAAUAGCAACAACAACAAAAAAAAAAGACAAAAAAAAAAUAAAAGAAAUGCUAGUGAAUGAAUAGUGUGCUAGCUAUCUCUAGAAACAUCCUGCAUUGCUUAUCUUGGGGGUCUAUUAGGUCUGCCUGCUCACCAGGUUCAGUCAAUACAUACACAUCUAAGGGAGAUAAGUUUUCUUGAACCAAUAAAGAACACUCAAAAGAAAAAAUAAAACUUAAAAUCUGAGGAGUUUCCAUUGUGGUGCAGUGGGUUAAAAAUCCAACUAGUGUCCAUGAGGAUUCAGGUUCAAUCCCUGGCCUUGCUCGGUGGGUUAAGGAUCCGGUGUUGCCAAAAGUUUCCCUGAAGGUUGCAGAUGCUGCUCAGAUUUGGUAUUGCUGUGGCUGUGGUGUAGGCCAGUGACUGCGGCUCCAAUUCAACCCCUAGCCCGGGAAAUUACAUAAGCCAAGGGUGUGGCCCUAAAAAGAAAAAAAAAAAAAGCUCGAAUUUGAGAUUUGGGAUUAUAAUCAGCACCUCAAGGAAAACCUAAAUUCAAAUAGAGAAAUUCAUAGUGGCAUUGGUGGUACAGCGGUGAGCAUAGCUGUUUUCCAAAUAGAGAAAUUCACUUCUAUUCAGAUUAAAAAAAAUGUUCUCCUAGUUACACAAAGGCGAAAACUUGGUGGAGGGUACACAGGACCUCCAUGCACUUUGGUUAUUCAACUUCCUGUGAACCUGUAAUUAUUUUAGAAUUAAAAAUAAAGGAAGGAAGGAGGAAAGGAGGAAGAAGUGUUUCAAAAACUAGAGGUCAGAGUUCCCGCUGUAGCUCAGUGGGUUAAGAACCCAACUAGUAUCCAAAAAACUAUAGGUCACAGAUGUUCUGACUGACGUUCCCUAUUCAGAUUUGUACAGCCUCGAUCAUGAUCCAGACACAUGAAAAGUUUGAGCAAGAAUUAGUUCUGUCCCCUUCCUGCCUGGGGGACAGUGAACACUGUUUGCCACACGGUCAACUACAAAAUCUACUUCAGCCAGGUGCUAAAAUGACAGCAAAUCUCAAUCUAUCUCGAUUCCACUAUCACCACCACCACCACCAUCAUCCAUAAACCUAAGGAUAUAUUUCAAAACUUAGUAUAUUUCUAGAAACAUACAGCCCACCAAAUCUGAAUCAAAAAGAAAUAGAUAACUUGAAUAGACCAAUCACCAGAAGUGAAACAGAAUCUGUAAUUAAAAAAAACAAAACAAAACAAAAAAACGGAGUUCCCAUCGUGGCGCAGUGGAAAUGAAUCUGACUAGGAACCAUGAGGUUGCAGGUUUGAUCCCUGGUCUCACUCAGUGGGUUAAGGAUCUGGCAAUGCCGUGAACUAUGGUGUAGGUCGAAGACACAGCUCAGAUCCCACGUUGCUAUGGCUGUGGUGUAGGCCAGCGGCUAUAGCGCCGAUUCAACCCCUAGCCUGGGAACCUCCAUAUGCCACAGGUUUGGCCCUAAAAAGAAAAAAAAAUUUUUUUUUUAAUUUUUAAAAACUCCCUACAAACAAAAGUCCAAGGCCAGAUGGCUUCACAGGUGAAUUCUGCCUCUAACAAACACACAAAGAAGAACUUAUACUGAUCCUUCUCAAACUCUUCCAAAAGCUUGAAGAGGAAGAAACUCCCAGAGACAUGCUAUGAAGCCACCAUCACCCUCAUACCAAAAAUAGACAAAGACACUACCAAAAAAGAAAAUUACAGGCCAAUAUCUUUGAUGAACACAGAUGCAAAAAUUAUCAACAAAAUAUUAACAAACUGAAUCAAACAACAUAUGAAAAAGAUCAUGUACAGGAGUUCCCACUGUGGCUCAAUGGGACUGGCAGUGUCUUGGAGCACUGAGAUGCAGGUUUAGUCCUCAGCCCAACAAAGUGGGUUAAGGAUCUGGCGUUGCCGCAGUUGCAGCUUAGGUCGCAACAGCAGCUAGGAUCUGAUCCCUGGCCCGGGAACUCCAUUGCUGCCAGGCAGCCCCCCAAAAAAGCUCAUAUACCACAACCAAGUUGGAUCCAUCCCAAGGUCACAAAGAUGGUUCGUUCAACAUACACAAAUUAAUCAAUGUGAUACACCACAUCAACAAAAGACAAGACAACCACAUGAUCACCUCAACAGAUGAAGGAAAAGCAUUCAAUAAAAUUCAACAUCCAUUCAUGACAAAAACUCUUACCAAAAUGUGUACAGAGGAAACAUAUCUCAACAUAAUAAAAGCUAUUUACAAUAAACCCACAGCCAAUAUAAUACUCAGUGCUGAAAAGCUGAAAGGAAAGGCUUCCCACUAAAAUCUGGAACAAGACAAGGAUGCCAAUUCUCACCACUUCACUUCAAUAUAGUACUGAAAGUCCUAGCCACAGCAAUCAGACAAGAAAAAAAAAAAAAAAAAAAAGCUAUUCAAAUUGGUAAGGAAGAGGUAAAACUGUCAUUAUAUUAUAUGUAGAUGAUAUGACACCAUACUUAGAAAAUCCUGAAGACUCCACUCAAAAACUACUAGAACUGAUAAAUGAUUUCAGCAGGAUACAAGAUUAACAUAGAGAAAUAAGUUGCAUUUCUUUACACUAACAAUGAAAUAUCAGGAGUUCCUGUUGUGGCUCAGUAGAAAUGAAUCUGACUAGUAAACAUGAAGAUGCAGGUUCAAUCCCUGGCCUCACUCAGUGAGUUAAGAAUUUGGCACUGCCUCGAGCUUUGGUGUAGGUCACAGACUCAGCUUGGCUCCUGAGUUGCUGUGGUUGUGGCUGUGGCCGCCAGCCGCAGCUCCAAUUAGACCCCUACCCUGGGAACUUCCAUAUGUCGUAGGUGCAGAAAGAGGAGUUCCCGUCAUGGCUCAGUGGUUAACGAAUCCGACUAGGAACCAUGAGGUUGCGGGUUCGAUCCCUGGCCUUGCUCAGUGGGUUAAGGAUCUGGCGUUGCCCUGAGCUGUGGUGUGGGUCACAGACAUGGCUCGGAUCCUGCGUUGCUGUGGCUCUGGCGUAGGCCGGUGGCUACAGCUCCAAUUCGACCCCUAGCCUGGGAACCUCCAUAUGCUGUGUAGCUGUAAAAAGGAAAAAAAAAAAAAGUAGACUUGUGCGGCUCAGGGGCAGUGAGGCAGUAACUUGGGGGAAGAACGAUUCAAGAUAAGUUCAGGGAGGUAGGCAGGAGUCAGAUCCUGGAAGUGUGUUCUGGGCCAGAAUAAGGGAACUUGGAUUUUAAUCUUACUGCAGUGGGAAACUUAGAAAGUUGUCAAACAGGAGGUGGUAUGAACUUAUUUUUCAUUUUGAUUACUUUGAAUACUUUCACCACUACUUUGGUGCCUUACGAGAAAAUAUACAGUAGAGAGGCAUGCGAAGACACAGAACAACUGAGAAUGUUAUUAUAGUAGCACAGACAGGAGAUGACAGCAGCUUGUUCUAGAAAAGUGGCAAUGGAAAUGAAAAGAAGGAGACUGCUUCAGGGCAUAUUUUGAAGGCAGAGCUGACAGGACUUACUGAUGAAGCGAGGACACAAAAAGAGAGCUCCUAAAUAUGUGGUUUGACUAACAUAAGUGGUUUGCGGUGCCAUUAGUGACCAGAGCAGACUGGGGGGAAAAAAAAGAUUUAGGAAGAAGUCAAAAGUUUCAUUUUGACCAUGUUGACUGUAAGAUGUCAGUAAGAAAACCAAGUGGAGAUUCCAGGAAAGCAGGUGAAAAUGCAGUUCUGGAACUCAGGAGGCAGUGUGGAGACAAUGAUUUGAGUUAUCAAUACAUAGAUGGCGUUUAAAACCAUUGGACGCUAAAUAACAUGACCUAAGUAAGCAUUCUAGUUAUAGAAGAGGAC